UAAAAUGGGUUUCUUUUACUUUUUAGGAUUUAAGUGCCCUGUAUGCUCAAAAUUUGUACCUUCAGAUGAAAUGGAUUUGCAUCUUGUGAUGUGUUUAACAAAGCCAAGAAUAACCUAUAAUGAGGAUGUACUGAGUAAAGAUGCUGGGGAAUGUGCAAUAUGCCUUGAAGAAUUGCAGCAGGGAGAUACUAUAGCACGACUGCCUUGUCUAUGCAUAUAUCAUAAAGGCUGCAUAGAUGAAUGGUUUGAAGUAAAUAGAUCUUGCCCGGAGCACCCUUCAGACUAAGCAUCAGCUUCCUGUUUUAUAGGUUUUCUUGUGUUUUCAAGAUGCUUGAAAAACUGAGAGGAGAUGAGGAUCUGUCUCUGGAAAAAGAAAAACAAAACUGCAGGCAUACUCAGCCAGAGAUCUGAGUUCUGUGAGACUUGGUAACGCAGAGAUGGACAAUCACACGGGGAAAAACCCUGCUGAAGAGAGGGCAGUUGCCACAGAACUCAGUGUACCGAACAUGCAUAUAGAGGACACACAGGGAUUUUGAAAAUGCUGCACCUCCCUUACUAGUCAUCUACAUAGGUAAUACUGAUAAACAUUUUGUAUUCAGACGCCAAAGUUAACUGAUUUAAAAGUUGAUUUUUUUAAGUUCUCUAGAGCUGCGCAACUAGUUGUGUUCGACUUGUUUUUUUCUUGUUUGGGGUCACUUUAUUUUCCCCUACAUGAUGUUUCUGUAUUCGUCUGUUCUUAAAUUGAAGACCACAUAAUGUACUUCCUAUAAAUUAAAGUCUUAAAUGUGAAACCAAGAAAUGAAAUCAAGCAGUAAAACAUUUUCUGAAUGUAGACCAUGAUCUCAAAUUCUUCUAUUUUUUCUCCUAUGAGUAGAAAAUAGACUUCUGCAUAGGAGAGCUAAAAUAUGUUAGUAUUUUAAAUUCAAGGUUUAACAUUAUCAGAAUGCAGUCCAAAGAGUAAAUCAAGUUACAUAAUUACAUUUUAAUGAACUGAGGCUAAGAUUGUCUAUUGAAUUGCAAUUUAUUACACGUGUUAUUUCCUCUUAAGUAAAACUGCUCAGUAGUUAAUCAGUAAUGAAUCAUCUUGCAGCAGCUAUGCAACUUUUUAAAAAAUACAAAUUACCAAUUUUAAGUGCUGCCAGCUAUAAUAACUUUGUUUUAACGGGUAUUUUUGUUUGUUCUUUUCAUGUAAUUAUUUCAUUGUGCUUUGCAUCUCCAGACAGUUUUCCCACAUUUGGGUAGAAUGUUUAGCAGGUUGUAAACUUAGUAACUUAUGAAAAGGGUAAAAUUUUCUUGAGUGGAAACUUGGAAUAACUUGAGGGACAUUUUAUAUACUUUUAAAAAUCAGAAUUUAAUUGGGAUGCCGGAUUUAUAGCAAUUUGCAUCUUUAAUUUUCCAGAUAAUCUGGAAGUUAGUGUUUGAUAAAUGAUUUUUUAAAGCAAAUAUGAAGAUUUUGUUAAUUUAUAAUUUAUUAAUGUGUUAUUACUGUAAUUGAAAAUGUUAUAGAUAAUAGACUUUUAAAUUCAGUCUUGUGUAGAAAGAAAUGUAUUAAGCAAAAUUAUGUGAAUAAAUAUUCCCACAAAAUACAUCUGAAUGGUUACAAAAUACUGGAAGAGAGCUAUCAGGCUACAAUAGUGAAUGUCUUUUUUUUUUUUUUUAAUCUAAAAAGAUACCAAUAAGUAGAUUUCAUAUUUUCAACAUACAGGGAAAAUGUUAUCAGUGAACAUUUAAGCAGUGCACUUUACUUGGUAUAAUUGAAAGUUGCACAAGUACUGUUUCCUUAUUUUACGCUUUCUUUAACGUAUUUAAGUAUUUGCUUUUCUAUUUAAUGCUGCUACUCUUACUCUCAAAAUUUUUCCCUAUUCUGCUUCUGUUUCAUAUUUUUUGAAAGGGCACGUACAGGAGCAACUGCUGCUACCCAGAAAAAUUGGUGUUUUAGAAACAAUUGAAAGAGUUUUUCAUUGCUUUCUGUGUGAUUCCAGACCAGAUAACAUUUUCCCUAAAGUUAUGCUGUGAAAUGCCUUUUGUUAUGCUGCAAUUGACAAAAGCGUCCCAAACCUCCAUUGUGACGGCUGACAGCACGGUUUCAUAGGUGCUUUUUAAACCAGUUAUGGGAAAUACUCUUCCCUCACGGAAAAUCUUUCCUUCAAUUUUCUUCUGUUACCAUGAAAUCUUAGUAUGAAUCCAUUUUGUUUCACAUUUUUCAUUUUGUAAGCUUCCACACAUAACACAUGUACCCGCUCACCCCAGGAAAGACCUCUUAGAGUAUUUUGUGAAUGAUUCAUUUUUUUCCUACUACUGGUAUAUUGUUAUGGUAAGAAUUGUUUUGUUGUCUUCCGUUCUUAAAGGCACAGCUUAACUCUAGCUGUGGUAGUGACGCAUUAAUAUUCUUCUGGAAGUUGAUUUUCUGAUAUGUGAUUUACUCAUUGACUUUUUAAUUUUACAGACUUUAGUUCUUUUCCUUCUAUGUCCUGUUCCAUAUCAGCCUCUCUCGCUCAGCCUCUGACCUACGGUUCUGUGCUGCAGCAGCUACAGCAGAAGAAAGUUCAGUGUUUGUUAGUUCAAGUGCUCCUUGAUUAUUAUAUUUGUCUAGAACAGUACUUACUUAAAAUCUGUUUAUAGCAGCCCUUUUGUGUUAAAAUUGAUAGAGGUUAGCAUUUUUUACUUUAGGUUCAGUCUCCAUCAAUGACUCCCCAGAAAGAAGAAUUUAGGAAUUGAAAAUGUUUUUAUGCCCAGAUGCUCUGGUUAUUAUUCAAAGUCAAAAUUGCUACUCUGGAAAAUAUUAUAAUAUUCUACAUAAUGUCACUUACAAUAUUUGUGUAUCUGUAUGUGGACACUGAAUAGUGUAAGUAGGAUACAAAAAUCACAUUAGAUAUUUAAAUAUGUUGCUUGAAACUACUGACAACUGAACAUUAUGGAGACAAAAUAAAGAUUGAAAACCUAGCUAUCAAGUUGGUGAUUGACAGCCUUCCAGAAUCUUUGUAAAUACACGUUUUAAAAUGAGAUCGCACUUGCGUAAAUAGAAAGCAAUAUGUUCUGAAAUUUCACUUUAGUGCCACUCUUCAUAAUGGGUUUAUUGCCAAUUUUGACUCGUUUUACUUUGAUCUGGCUUUUUGAAUUUUGUUAUUGUUAUUGCCGGAAUGUAUAAGAGAUAGUAAAAUUAUCCUGUCUUUGGGCUUUUUGCCAGAGAAAUUAGCUAAACCUAGUCUUAAUCUAUGUUUUUCAGAUCUGGUUAUAAAUCUGAUAUAGAUCGUGUUUUCAGAGCAGUGUUUGUGAUUGAAAUAUAAGUAAUGAAUUCUAUAACUGAUUUUUUUGUGGUAGCUGAACGACAUUUAAAAGGCCAUAUUGUUAACUCUUGCAUGCUAUAUGGGUUUUGGUUUCUUUGUGCAAGUCUUCUGUUUCUUUUAAGUGAUACACAGUUAUUUCUGUUCUCACCACUAAAUACUUUAUUAGAAUGUAGCCCAAACGAAAUACCUGAGGAUCACUGUCAGCAUAUUUUCAAUAUGUAUUUUGAAAAGAUUUCAGGUUAACAAAUGUAUUAGUGAAAAUGGCAGAUUCCUUUUCAAAGUUUAUUUUACUUUCCCAAUUUGGGUAUAGUGAAGUUUAAGGGCAAUUAUUUAAAUUAACAUACUAUAGCAAGACUAAGAGAAAUGUCUUUAAAUGAAAAGACAGUAAAUUAAAUGUAAAUAUUACCUGAUCUUAUUUACUAACUUGGAGAGCUGAAGAAGAGAAAUUUCCUAAAAGUAAGCUACAUUUGAGCAAAGCAUGAAACUCUUUAAAAAUUCAAGAAUAAUUGAAUUUACCAUCUGAUUGACAUCCCUUUUAUGCAUUGAUAAUAAUAUCCAAAUCAUCCUAUUUUUUCACAGAGGGGUUUCCAUAUAAAUCAGAUGAACUCUGUAAGACGUCAUAGAGGUAAAUGUUGCGUAUUAAUUGUGAGUACAGUCUGUGAGCUGCCGGAAAUCUUCUAGUUCAUUUGGGCCAUUUUCUUGCAGUUUGAUUUAUCCUGAGGUGAACUCAAUGCAUAUUGACAGUGUGUUAAAUGUGAAAUGUCCCUUGUUCUUGUACAGGUAUUUUCUAAGUUAAAAAAAAAAAAAAAUUUAGCAUGCUGAUACUUUUAUCUCUGACCCCAUCACUCCCCCUUUUUUUGAAGUGCGUAACUUCUGAUUUUUUUCUUUACUAUAUAGUGAAUGACAAUAGUUAAAUUAUGUUUUACUGUUCUAUUCCUCUGUAUCCAGACCUUUUCAUUCUGAUACUAAAUUGCUACCUGUUUUGUUUUGUUUUGUUUUGUUUUAGAGGAAAUUGCUACUUGGUAUACUCCUAGUAGUGAUUCUUAUUCAUGAACAGCUGAAUAGGUAAAACUUUUGGUAAUAAUUUACUCAGGCAGUACUUUGAGUGCCAUAUUCUGGGAAUGCUGUGUUGAAGCUGGGAAACUGAAUGUUCUUUUUCCAUCACAGAAUUCCUGAAUUGAAUGGGAAAUACCCAGCUGAUUCUCUGGAAAGAACUAAAGGCAUUGAAGAAAACCAGAUAUAUAUUCAUAUUAAGUUUUAGCUGAAAAUGCAGUAUGACUAAGGGGAGUUGGUGUAUUUUCAGAUGUGAAGCCAUCAUUAAUUUUAGGCCAACGGCUAACAAUAAGAUAAAUUGUUAGUUUAUAGGGAAGCAAAGAGCAGUAUGGCAUAAACUCAUAUCUCAGAAAUGAAAAAUUUCAAAGUAAGAUUGCAGUAUUUGAUUAACCAACAUUGUGCUUCCUAGCUCUGCCCUGGACUGUGAGGCCGCUGUCAGGACUGCAAGUCUUAGAAUCAGAAGUGACUGAUUUCUCCUAUUAUUAAAUUCUCAUGCCUUCCCUUUUGAUUUGAUAUGCUGAGAUUGACUGAUGGUUUAUGUUUAUAAACUUACAGUCCUGCCUGUAUCCUGUUACCAGUGACCCUGGUGCUAGCAUCUUGAAGAGGUUAUGUUAUUAGUCAUUAGCAUUUUGAGCACGUGUGUGCAUAGAAUACAGUUAACAGACCCUAUAGGGAGAUCAAGAGAUAUUUUGGAAUUUGAUGAUGAUAUUGGUCUUUAUUACAGAAGUCCAUUUCAUUUUAUUUCUUUCCAAUGAUUAUAUGAGUGUCUUUUUUUUUUUUUUUUAAAGAACAUCACAGUAAUAGUAUUUAUUUCCAUUGGUUUGUUCAUGGUUUCAACAACUCUUCUGUAAUACCUCUUAAUUUCCUCUAUUAGAAAGUAUUUUCCUGUUAAAUAAGGCAUCAAAAGCAUCCAUCAGAAGAAAUCUAGAAAAUGUAUUAGGAACAACUUGUAUUAGUAUGUUCUAAACUAAAAUGGAACAAUUCAUGAUUGAUAUUUUAAUAAACAAAACUUCUGAAUGAUCUUGCCAAAUUAUCCUGUUAUUUAGAAGUAUAACAUAAGAGAAUGCUUUCAAGGAAAUUUGUCAUAUCCACUGUAAUGCCUAGAAGUUGACAGUACAUUAUAAUAAAACUGAGAAUUACCUGAUUGCUGAAAGGUUACCAUGAA
Molecule: long non-coding RNA, 5505 nt
Organism: Herpailurus yagouaroundi (jaguarundi)
Lineage: Eukaryota; Metazoa; Chordata; Mammalia; Carnivora; Felidae
Exons: 4
Source: RefSeq, a predicted model, not a curated record